GCACAAGCGGUGGAGCAUGUGGUUUAAUUCGAAGCAACGCGAAGAACCUUACCAGGUCUUGACAUCCUCUGACAAUCCUAGAGAUAGGACUUUCCCCUUCGGGGGACAGAGUGACAGGUGGUGCAUGGUUGUCGUCAGCUCGUGUCGUGAGAUGGUGGGUUAAGUCCCGCAACGAGCGCAACCCUUAUUCUUAGUUGCCAGCAUUAAGGUGGGCACUCUAAGGAGACUGCCGGUGACAAACCGGAGGAAGGUGGGGAUGACGUCAAAUCAUCAUGCCCCUUAUGACCUGGGCUACACACGUGCUACAAUGGAUGGUACAAAGGGCUGCGAAACCGCGAGGUCAAGCCAAUCCCAUAAAACCAUUCUCAGUUCGGAUUGUAGGCUGCAACUCGCCUACAUGAAGCCGGAAUCGCUAGUAAUCGUGGAUCAGCAUGCCACGGUGAAUACGUUCCCGGGC
RNAcentral lists this ribosomal RNA (457 nucleotides) under uncultured soil bacterium. RNAcentral describes it as "bacterial SSU rRNA". It matches the Rfam family "Bacterial small subunit ribosomal RNA", at positions 923 to 1379 of the family's 1533-position model. The record is from RNAcentral.